This is a non-coding RNA of Delphinapterus leucas (beluga whale), 2773 nucleotides long. The record is from RefSeq and is a predicted model, not a curated record. NCBI's taxonomy places the organism in Eukaryota, Metazoa, Chordata, Mammalia, Artiodactyla, Monodontidae.
GGCUCGGGGGAAUCACCCCGUGACUUGUGACACGUGCAUUUGCCGGAGGCGGCGCUUCGGAGCCGCGGCCCCUGCUUCCCUCCUGCAAGUCCGGCCGCUCGCGGUGAUUCGCGGGGACUCCGCCCCUUCGGCACCGCGGGGCGCGCCCGACCCCUGACCCCCGAACGCCGCAGGCCCUCGCCCGCAGGCCGCACGGCCCAAGGCCCAGCGCUGAGCAAGGGGUCCUUCCAGAGUCAGUUUUCCGACUGUGGCGUCUUCAGGGACCGGGCCGUCCCUCCCCACUGGCUGGAGGUUAUUACAAGAUAUUGAAUAUAGUUCUCGGUGCUCUACGCUAGGUAAAUGGCCUCUUCUCCAGAGCUUUGUCAUGGAAAUCCCCAGAAAAUAAUUGGUUGGAAGUCAAAGAACCCAAAAAAACAAAGGGAAAGGAUUUGGGAAGUGGACUUGGCCAGGUAUGUAUUGUUCCCAAAUUGCUUACAUUAAUGAGCUCCCAGGGAUACAGUUGCUCUGGAGACAGGGCUUCCUGCAAGCCAAGAAGCAGCUCUGAACUGAGAUCAUCUUCACAGAAAGGACAUCCCUGGUGGAGAUGGCAGCUUGGGAGGGUGCAACAGCCUGGGGCCAAGAGAACUAAGAUCCAGCAGAAUGCAGAGUGAGCCUCAGGCUGGACACGUGGAUUCCCUCCGGAGAAAAACCCUGAGUCUCCUGGAGGUGAAAUUCCCUCUUGUGCAUCAAAUAUGAAGAUCAGUACAGUCUUCGUGGAGGACAGAUUAGAUAUAUGUACCCAAAGUCUUGAAAUGUUUGUUCCCAGUAAUUUCCUCCCUAGGAAUGUAUUCCGAGGUCAUAAUUAGAGGCGUGCUAAAGGACUUGUGCGGAGCGACCUGCCCCCAGGGUUAUUUAUAUGAGAGUGAGUGGAAACGUCUUGAGCGCUCGCACUAGAUGGCUGUUGAGGUAGAUUAAAUCCAGAUGAUGGUGAAAAACUUUAAAACUUAAGUACAUGGGAAAUUUUUCUCACAGUAUAGAGUUAAUUGGAAAGGGCAGAUUACAAAACAAGGAAACGAGAUGAUCUCCAUUUGGGGUACGUGUAUGAUUGUGUGUGUGAGAGAGUGUGCGUCCCCAGGCCGUAUCUAACCAGGAAAAGACGGUAUAACAUGACUCACAGAAAUGGUAACGACGCGCUACAGUUUGGAUCUAGCUGCCGUUUUGUAGUUGCUGGGAUGGAAGGCCAUUUAGAGCCGUGGUCAGGGGUCCCAGGGCUAGACUCAAGCUCGCUGGGAUCUGGCUGGACCCCUGUCUACCUGUGUGGUUUUGAGCAGCUUCUUCAUCCCUCUGAUGAGUUUAUGUGCUUGGAAAAGAUGGCCUGUCAUCCGUCAUCAGCCCCAUCCCAGGGACUGUGUUUAAACACCAAAGAGCAGGCUCCUGGCCAGGGGAUCCUUAUGUCUGUGGGGUAGGGGUGGAGGUGGGGUGUGGAGAGCAAGCAGUAGGCUGGGAGCUUUGAGAGAGUGAGAGGAAAGAGGUUUUAAGACAACUUUUCUCUCUUUUAUGAGCGUAACUGCCCUUUGGUUCCUUGUAAAACAAAUUUAGGAAAGAUCUGCAGUAUUUCUCAAGGCUAUUUUUGGAGUUGAACUUGGAUCUGACUUUGAUUUCUUCUCCAUGGGAACAUGGUGAGAUGGGCCGUGAGGUUGCCCAUCUUUACUCGGUUUCAUAAAUGUGCUACAGGGAGAGAGGACACCAGACUGAUGGCAGCUUCAAGAAUAGUUUGCGUAUGGCCCUCAAAAGCAUCCCUCCAGGCUAACGCCCCCCCAGCCACAAUCCCUGGGUGGAUGGCUACCGAGGAGUUCCUUCCCUCCAAUGGGCCGUCUUCCCAACAGACACGCUCACGGGAGGCCGGGCAGGUCGCUCCCUGACUGUUUUCUGAGUGGGGGCGGAGACAGGCAGGGGUGCCUGCAAGUCAGUGCAGCCCAUCAUCAUGAUGGCACCUCCACCCCAGCACCUGCCCAGGCUGCCCAAGGUCACACCAGGAGCCUACUCAGCCUCUCACCCUAGCACCUUCUCCUUACGAGAAACAGUCCACAUUAAGAAAGAAAAAACGGGUAGCACAGAGGCGACGGCACCGAACUGCCUGUGAUCGAAUUGAAUCCCAGCUCUGCACAGUAAAAACGGGCCUGUUUCCUCAUCUGUAAAGGGGUGGCCAUAGGUGCUUUGGGGCGUCGCUGUAGAAAGCCCCUGGCACUGUGCCCAGCACAGCAUAAACCCUCUUUCACUUGGCCGUGGUGAUGCACUUUCACGAAGGAUCUGAGGCCUGAUGGCUGCAGAAUGCACGUGCCUGGGUAUCCAUUUCUGUCUCUCAGUGUGGUCCCAGCCCCACUGCGCAGAGGGCGGGAGGUGUGUAAAGGGACAAGAAUCAUGAUAAUUCAAGUGGCGACAUUUGGGGAUUCUCUCCCACUCCUGGGGUCCAUCCCAUUCGGUGCAGGCAGAGCUGUUAGUCAGCUCGGGCUGCUGUAGCAAAGUACCACAGGUGGGGCCGCUUAAACAACAGAAAUUUAUUUUCUCACAGUUCUGGAGACUGGAAAUCCAAGAUCAAGGUGUCAUCGGGGUUGGUUUCUUGUGAGGCCUCCCUCCUUGCCUUGUAGACGGCCAUCUUGCCCUGUAUCUUCACAUGGUCAUCCCUCUGUGCAUCUCUGUGUCCUAAUCUCCUCUUCUUGUGAGGACACCAGUCAUAUGGGAUAUGGGAUUAGGGCCUACCCCAGUGACCUCUUUUCACCUUACUACCUCUUUA